CCUACGGGAUGCUGCAGUGGGGAAUAUUGGACAAUGGGCGAAAGCCUGAUCCAGCCAUGCCGCGUGUGUGAAGAAGGCCUUCGGGUUGUAAAGCACUUUCAGUGGGGAAGAAAGCCUUGGGGCUAAUACCCUCGAGGAAGGACAUCACCCACAGAAGAAGCACCGGCUAACUCCGUGCCAGCAGCCGCGGUAAUACGGAGGGUGCGAGCGUUAAUCGGAAUUACUGGGCGUAAAGCGCGCGUAGGCGGUCUGAUAAGCCGGUUGUGAAAGCCCCGGGCUCAACCUGGGAACGGCAUCCGGAACUGUCAGGCUAGAGUGCAGGAGAGGAAGGUAGAAUUCCCGGUGUAGCGGUGAAAUGCGUAGAGAUCGGGAGGAAUACCAGUGGCGAAGGCGGCCUUCUGGACUGACACUGACGCUGAGGUGCGAAAGCGUGGGUAGCAAACAGGAUUAGAUACCCCAGUAGUC
This 465-nucleotide ribosomal RNA is filed under the name Vreelandella stevensii. RNAcentral describes it as "partial 16S ribosomal RNA". It matches the Rfam family "Bacterial small subunit ribosomal RNA", at positions 338 to 795 of the family's 1533-position model. The record is from RNAcentral. Lineage: Bacteria; Pseudomonadati; Pseudomonadota; Gammaproteobacteria; Oceanospirillales; Halomonadaceae.